Molecule: long non-coding RNA, 376 nt
Organism: Dendrobium catenatum
Lineage: Eukaryota; Viridiplantae; Streptophyta; Magnoliopsida; Asparagales; Orchidaceae
Exons: 2
Source: RefSeq, a predicted model, not a curated record
UGAAAGGUUUGGCUGGAUCUAUUAUUUCUUCUUCUACAUCUCAUUCUUUCCGAGAUGUUUUAGCAGGACCUUCUUCUUCUAAUCUUCUGGCCUUUUUUGUAGGUUUUUAGAGCUUCGCACUCAUUUUGUGCAGGAUACGUUUGUGGUUGAAAGGGCUAUGCUGAAGGUGCUUUAUACUCCCCUUUUCCUUUUUGUUCGUAGAAUGUUAUUAGGGUCUUUUGUAACUUGGAUUAGAAGGGAACUCCGGCUCUUAGUUUUCUUUUUUAUUUUGUUUGUAGCUCUUCGGAGCAGUAGUGAACUGGAGGUCCCUUUAAGAACCUUGUACCUUUUUCUGAUAUUAACACGUAAGCUCGUCGGUGGGUUUUAACCAAAAAAA